Molecule: long non-coding RNA, 269 nt
Organism: Penaeus monodon (black tiger shrimp)
Lineage: Eukaryota; Metazoa; Arthropoda; Malacostraca; Decapoda; Penaeidae
Exons: 3
Source: RefSeq, a predicted model, not a curated record
UGGUCCCAAGGGGCCGUCGGAACCACCUGCCUGUGACAUCACGGAGGACCUUCGGACGGCGACAAUGGACGACAUUCUGACAGGAGAUAUCCGACCAGUAAGACGGGCUCCACCACCACCCAGAUCUAAGCCAGCCGUCCAACAGCCCAGGAAUGAUGACUUAUUAGUCAUACAGUCACAGGGAGGUCCAAGUUGUAAGGUCCCACCACCAAGACGAAAUGCAAAUGGAAUCUCCAGAUCAACUUCAAUGCCAUUGUCUACCAGCUCCC